GUAGUAACAGUGGCAGCACAGAUCUCAAACUGGAAUGGUACUGAUGGGAUUAGCAUGGCCCCUGCUCAACGACAAGCAAAUUCCUGAAGUGUUCCAUAUUUGU
Molecule: small nuclear RNA, 103 nt
Filed under: Microtus ochrogaster (prairie vole)
Lineage: Eukaryota; Metazoa; Chordata; Mammalia; Rodentia; Cricetidae
Source: RNAcentral